This 1215-nucleotide ribosomal RNA is filed under the name Triticum aestivum (bread wheat). Its description in RNAcentral is "partial small subunit ribosomal RNA". The record is from RNAcentral. Lineage: Eukaryota; Viridiplantae; Streptophyta; Magnoliopsida; Poales; Poaceae.
AUGGCGACGGCGAUGGACACGACGGUGCCGAGGAGCGGGGUGGGGGAAGGCGGCGGCGGCGGUGGGCUGAAGAAGGGGCCGUGGACGCAGGCGGAGGACCGGGUGCUGCUCGACCACGUGCGGCGGCACGGCGAGGGCAACUGGAACGCGGUGCGCCGGGAGACCGGGCUGCAGCGCUGCGGCAAGAGCUGCCGGCUCCGGUGGGCCAACCACCUCCGCCCCAACCUCCGCAAGGGCCCCUUCUCCCCCGAGGAGGAGCGCCUCAUCCUCCGCCUCCACGGCCUCAUCGGCAACAAGUGGGCGCGCAUCUCAACACACCUGCCGGGGAGGACGGACAACGAGGUCAAGAACUUCUGGAACACGCGCCUCAAGCGCCGGCAGCGCGCCGGGCAGUCGCUCUACCCGCCGGACGUCGAGCGGGAGAUCGCCCUCAUGCGCGCCCAGAACAUCAACCCGUUCGCCGACGCGGACGGCAAUACUGCGGCGUCGCCGUUCUCGGACCCGUUCGCGCUGCCUCCCAGGCCGCCGUCGUCCACCAAACCGCCCUCUCACUCUCACUCCUCGCCGCUGAUCGACCAGCACCACCCGCUCCUCAACCAGAUGCAGGGGAUGCAGAUGCGCCACCACGCCGCACAGCACCAGCACCCGCAGCCGGCGUUCCACCACCACCACCAUCACCACCACGGCGGCAUGAGGGCUGCGGGGCUCCCGCCGUUGCCGGCCACGGCGGCCAGGCCGCGCGAGCUCCCUUCGAACCAAAUCGAGACGGCGAGCUGCAGCGGCGGCGGCGACGGCCUGCUCGAGGCGCUGCUGCUCGGCGUCGACGACCAUCAACUCCCCCGUCCCAACCAUGGCGUGUGCAGGGCCGGCUCCAUGCCCGAUCUCAUGUACGGCGGCGUCUCGAGCGCCAGCGACAGCGACGAUACCUCGCAGUUCCCUCCCGGAGGCCAGGACGCGCACCAUGGCGGGAAAUGGGACUUCCUCAUCGAUGAUGUGAAGCCGCCAAUGAGGAGGGCGACGAGCGCAGCAGAGAACGAGACCUCCGGUAUGUUCGGCGUGGCCCAUGGGUCGAUAUCCGGGGAGUGGUUCGGCACCGGCGUUGGGUCGCCAGGGCCGUCCUCCGUCGUCACCACGGACGAUGAGUUCGGCCUCGAGAUGCAGCAGCUCAUGUCGUCGCUGCCACUGUCGGCCGACGAGCUUAACUGGAACGCUUAA